CGUAGGGUGCAAGCGUUAUCCGGAAUCACUGGGCGUAAAGCGUGCGUAGGCGGAAGCUUAAGUGUGAUGUUAAAUCGUGUGGCUCAACCAUAUCGAUGCAUCGCAUACUGGGUUUCUAGAGGACGGCAGAGGCAAGUGGAACUCGUAGUGUAGCAGUGAAAUGCGUAGAUAUUACGAAGAACACCAAUGGCGAAGGCAGCUUGCUGGGCCGCCCCUGACGCUGAGGCACGAAAGCGUGGGGAGCGAACAGGAUUAGAUACCCUGGUAGUCCACGCCGUAAACGAUGCAUACUAGUCGUAUGGGGUAUCGACCCCCUGUGCGACGCAGCUAACGCGAUAAGUAUGCCGCCUGGGAAGUACGGCCGCAAGGCUA
Molecule: ribosomal RNA, 372 nt
Filed under: uncultured organism
Description: bacterial SSU rRNA
Rfam family: Bacterial small subunit ribosomal RNA
Source: RNAcentral